AAAAUUCAACGGCCGCGGUACCCUAACCGUGCGAAGGUAGCAUAAUCACUUGUUCUUUAAAUGAGGACUAGUAUCAACGGCAUCACGAGGACUACACUGUCUCCUCUCUUCAAUCAGUGAAACUGAUCUCCCCGUGAAGAAGCGGGGAUUUAUUUAUAAGACGAGAAGACCCCAUGGAGCUUUAAACCCAAUGUAUAACCCAACACACAAAUCAAUAAAGCCCUGAGGAUCUAUACACUGGUUUUAGGUUGGGGAGACCACGGAGUAAAACUAAACCUCCACAACAAACUGGCUAAAGCCCUGAUCUAUGAACUACAACUCUAAGAGCCAACAAAUUGUUGCCAACGACCCAAUCACUUGAUUAAUGAACCAAGUUACCCUGGGGAUAACAGCGCAAUCUACUUCAAGAGCCCCUAUCGACAAGUAGGUUUACGACCUCGAUGUUGGAUCAGGGUAUCCAAGUGGCGCAGCCGCUACUAAUGGUUCGUUUGUUCAACGACUAAAACCCUACGUGAUCUGAGUUCAAAACCGG
RNAcentral lists this ribosomal RNA (532 nucleotides) under Amolops indoburmanensis (Indoburman torrent frog). RNAcentral describes it as "partial large subunit ribosomal RNA". It matches the Rfam family "Bacterial large subunit ribosomal RNA", at positions 1919 to 2620 of the family's 2925-position model. The record is from RNAcentral. Lineage: Eukaryota; Metazoa; Chordata; Amphibia; Anura; Ranidae.